This 253-nucleotide ribosomal RNA is filed under the name uncultured bacterium. RNAcentral describes it as "partial 16S ribosomal RNA". It matches the Rfam family "Bacterial small subunit ribosomal RNA", at positions 524 to 776 of the family's 1533-position model. The record is from RNAcentral.
UACGUAGGGUGCAAGCGUUGUCCGGAAUUAUUGGGCGUAAAGCGCACGUAGGCGGUUUGUUAAGUCGGAUGUGAAAUCCCUCGGCUCAACUGAGGAAGUGCAUCCGAAACUGGCAGGCUUGAGUACUAAAGAGGGUCGCGGAAUUCCCGGUGUAGAGGUGAAAUUCGUAGAUAUCGGGAGGAACACCGGUGGCGAAGGCGGCGACCUGGGUAGAUACUGACGCUGAGGUGCGAAAGCGUGGGGAGCAAACAGG